Long non-coding RNA from Equus caballus (horse), 2587 nucleotides. NCBI's taxonomy places the organism in Eukaryota, Metazoa, Chordata, Mammalia, Perissodactyla, Equidae. The record is from Ensembl.
GGUGGCUGUGGUCCAUCCCUGGGGUCACCGGGCCCUGUGCCUCCGCUCCUCCCAGGUCCACCCAGGGCGGGUGCCUGCUCCCCACCCAGCCUCGGCGUCUCCACCUGCCAAAUGGGUUCCAGCUCUUGUCCUCUGUGGUCUGGGGUGGGCACCCAGGAAGUGAGACUUGCGAGGCACCCCUAGGCUUGGUCUCAAAGGGAGAAAACAUCCCCUGAGCCUGCUCCAGAGCCCCCAAGUAGAAAUCUCUGGGUGACUGCCUUUGCCCUGGGGGAGGGGGGGUGAUCCCUAGGGGUGGGUUCCCACUGGUCCCAAAGUGUGCACCAGGUCACUCCUGGAACCACAGGCCCUGGCUGCUCUCCCCAGCAUCCAUUUCACAGCCUUGCCUCGCGAAGGAAUCCCGGCCUCCGGUUCGGGAGCAUCCUCCCAGGCCUCCUCCAGAACAUUCGCUCACACACGGAUACUCAGGCUCGCAGACGUAUACGGACGCACACGCAUAUGUACGCAGACACACGUGCACCCAGACUCACAGGAACACGCGGACACGUGGGAACGCUGAUUACGUAAAGAGCUUCCUCUGUCUGUGGACCAGCUCCGCGCACCAGCUCUGAAGGUGUUUCCAUUGGGUGAAGGCACUUGGUGGCCUUGCACGCUGCACGAGUUCUGAGCUUCAGAAUGUGUCACUGCAGGCUGUCGGGUUCAGGAGCCAGUCUCACACAGGUGAAUCCCGACAGGACCCACAGACAGAUGAGGACGGAGACAGGAGGAGACUGAGUCUGCAGUGUGCCAACCCUGGGCUGCCCCUGUGCUUGGCUGCCACACUGUCUCACCUGGGUCUGGGCUGAGGACCUGGCCCUGGAGACCAAGGACAUUCCAGAGCCUUGGUUUGGAAUCCUCAGUUCCGUGGACGUGGAUGUCCUCGUGGAGUGUGCACGAGCCAGACAGGCCUGGGCUGGAGCUCCUGCCUCUGCUCUCUGCGAGUCUGUUUCCCCACGGUCAGAUGGGAGAGUGAGGGCUCCCAGCUUGCAGAAGGGCAGGAACUGGUGCUGUUGACCCGGGGUGGCACUGGCAUGAUCUGGAGAAGAACCUGGCUUCUGGUUUGGGGUUGGCCCCCACCCGUGAGGCUGGUACCUGUUUUGUCUGUGGACAGGUUAUGCUGUGAGAUUGUCUUUGCCGAUAAUUUAUUUAACACAAGUUCACUGGGAUUAUAACAAUUUCACAAGCCAGUAGCAUACAGGAUAAUGUCUCUUAAUAAGGCAAUAAAGAAAUAAAAAGGGGCUGGCCCUGCGGCCUAGUGGUUAAGUUUGGCACGCUCCACUUCGGCAGUCUGGGUUUGGUUCCUGGGCACAGACCUACACCACUUGUCAGCAGCCACACUGUGGCAGCAGCUCGCUCACAAAAUAGAGGAAGAUUGGCACAGAUGUUACCUUAGGGCAAAUCUUCCUCAGCAAAAAAAGAAAAAGAAAGAAAUUGUAUACUCCAAACCAAUGAUCGACUAAUUACACUCUUGUUCCAGGCAAAGGGGAGAGGAAAGAAAUAAAGUCCAAAUUUACUUGAGGUGUCCCUUUCUCUGAGCUGAUUCUUGGACAAGUCGACUUAGAGCUGACAUCCAGCUGCCAUUGCAAAGUGAGGAUGUCAUCAGCGCAGUGCCAUCCCCGUGCUCCUGGAGGACGGCGGCUGCAGUGAAGAUCCCAUCUGCAGAGAUGGCGUGUGAGGGCGUAGCUGUCGCAGUGCCCCACGGGCAGCCUGGCAGAGCUGUGUGUGUCCCUUCGGAGGAGGAUUAGCCCUGGGCUGACUACUGCCAGUCCUCCUCUUUUUGCUGAGGAAGACUGGCCCUGAACUAACAUCCAUGCCCAUCUUCCUCUACUUUAUAUGUGGGACGCCUACCACAGCAUGGUGUGCCAAGCGGUGCCAUGUCUGCACCUGGGAUCCCAACCGGUGAACCCCGCCCGCUGAGAAGCGGAACGUGCGAACUUAACCACUGCACCACCAGGCCGGCCCCUUAUAUUAACUAUUUUAACUGGGGGUCCAGUUAAUCAAGCCAGUUUGUCAAUGCCAAAAACUUACUUUAAUUUUAAUUUAUUAUUCUUUGUGUUAGCGCAUCUUUGCCUGAUGUGGGAUAUUUUUGGACAAAGAGUACUAUGACUAUGGGAAAUUAGGCAAGGCUGCGGUUCGAGUGAGGUCUGUCUGUUUUCCCUCUGUUUUAUAUUUAGUGACUUCCCAAGGUGAUAGGGACUACGAUGUUUACGUCUAGUGGGAUCCCCAGCUGUGACUCUCCUUUGAGCCCCAGUGUUGAUUAAGGCCGUGAAGUUUGUCAAUGGGUGCAUCUUAGCAAAUAAUUUAGCACCUACGUGCACCCAAGCCAACUGGCACAUUUAAAAAUCUUUUUGUUAUAUAAAUUAUUUUUGUAUAUAGAUAAAUUCUGUUGUAUAUUUGUUAUGUAUAAUUAUUAUACAUAUAAUUUGUUAUGUUGAUUUUUAGCAUAUAAACUUUGGAUUUCCAAUUAGGUCAAUUUAUGGACCUUUGUUUUAAUAUAUGUAAAAUUUAUUUAUUAUAUAUUUUGUAGCUGUAUUAAAAAUAUUGAAAAAUG